UACGUAGGUGGCAAGCGUUGUCCGGAAUUAUUGGGCGUAAAGCGCGCGCAGGCGGCCUUUUAAGUCUGAUGUGAAAGCCCACGGCUCAACCGUGGAAGGUCAUUGGAAACUGAAAGGCUUGAGUACAGAAGAGGAAAGCGGAAUUCCUGGUGUAGCGGUGAAAUGCGCAGAUAUCAGGAGGAACACCCGUGGCGAAAGCGGCUCUCUGGGACGGUACUGACGCUGAGACGCGAAAGCGUGGGGAGCAAACAGG
Molecule: ribosomal RNA, 253 nt
Filed under: uncultured bacterium
Lineage: Bacteria
Description: partial 16S ribosomal RNA
Rfam family: Bacterial small subunit ribosomal RNA
Source: RNAcentral